Long non-coding RNA from Epinephelus moara (kelp grouper), 1468 nucleotides. RefSeq lists it as uncharacterized. The record is from RefSeq and is a predicted model, not a curated record. Lineage: Eukaryota; Metazoa; Chordata; Actinopteri; Perciformes; Serranidae. The transcript is spliced from 4 exons.
UUGAAAGCGGGAUUGUGGGUACUGAAGCGGAUCAGAUCAUAACAGCGCUGGAUGUCUUCAUAAAAUCACCGCAGUUUAAUGCAUUCUUGUUGUUGCAAACAAUGAGCAGAUUCAACCGACUGAAGAAGCUUAUUAAUGAGGAAACCUCGAAAAGAAACGCCCUGAAGCUCAUAAAGUGGCUUCACAAGAGGAAACUGCUCAAGAAAAAAGUCACAUGCAGAAUAUGCUGUCAGGACAUGAAACUGAAAAGGAGGACGAACAGUGGAGAUGUAUAUGCUUGGACCUGUCGCCAAGCAGCACACAUGGGAAAGGAAAAACAAAUAUGUGUCAGGCACAAGCCAAUCUUCAGUCAUUCAAAGGUCUCCCUCAGUAACUGGAUGCAGUUCAUUUACAGAUUUUCUCAGGGUCUACGAUUACGACAGAUUGAUAUGAUGGAUGACACAAUUGCAGCCAGUUCAACAACUCUCACUAAAAUGGCAAAAAAAUAAGGGAGGUCUGUGUCACAGCAGUUGAAAGGAUGAGAAGGCGUACAGGCCAGCAGAUUGUUGGAAGAGGGGAGUUUGUUGUGAUCGAUGAGAGCCAUUUUCGGCACAAAAGAAAGUAUGGGAGAGGAAGAAUGGCUGGUGGGUGGAAAAGAAAGAAGUGGGUCUUUGGGAUGAUAGGUGUGAGGCAUCAUCAAGGACGAAGAAAGCCUAUUCUACGUCUUGUGGAGAGAAGAUCUCGAAGACAUCUAGUCCCCUUGAUUGCCCACCAUGUGAGGCUUGGAUCUUCAGUUAUCAGUGACGAGUGGCGUGCCUAUCGCGUACUCUGUGCACUAGGGUACAACCAUCACACUGUCAACCACAGCAGGUGGUAUGUAGAUCCCCAAACUGGAGCCCAUAGCCAGCAUCUUGAGAGGGCUGGAGAUCCUACAAGGAGCAGAUCUGGAGGCUCAGGGGAAAUCGCACUGACACUUUGCUUUCUGACCACCUUUCAGUGAUUGAGUGGAAUGAAUGGCUCGCAAAGAAACACCGUGAUGGUACAUUUGGCAGACUGAUUCAUGACAUUUCCAAAAACUACAAGUAGUCAUAUGCAGUCACGAACCAUUGUUGGCAAGAAUUUGUCUUUCUGUGGGAGAUGGCUGAGACAAAUUCAAAGGAAUCAGUGUACUGUGUUUUUGUAGCGUCAUAAAAUGACAUUUCCUGUAUUAUUUUAUCAUGUGUUGAGUCUGUCUCAAAUAAUUUUGAGACUUUUCUUUGAGAUAGGAUUUCAAAUGUAUGUUGAAUUAUGACACUGACAUAUUUUCUGACUUUAUUUUUUGAUACUGAAACAUUUUAUAUUUUAUAUUAAGAUUUUAUUUGUAGCACUUGAAACUUCUGUGAUCCACUGUUGGUGUUGGCGAGUUUUUAUUCAGCCAUGUUUACGCUUGUACGUCUUUUUAAAUCAACAGUUCCGUUGUACAGUUCCAAUAUGUUGAGAAGUUGCAAUA